This 492-nucleotide ribosomal RNA is filed under the name uncultured bacterium. Its description in RNAcentral is "partial 16S ribosomal RNA". It matches the Rfam family "Bacterial small subunit ribosomal RNA", at positions 29 to 507 of the family's 1533-position model. The record is from RNAcentral.
AGUGAACGCUGGCGGUAGGCCUAACACAUGCAAGUCGAACGGCAGCACAGUAAGAGCUUGCUCUUACGGGUGGCGAGUGGCGGACGGGUGAGGAAUACAUCGGAAUCUACUUUUUCGUGGGGGAUAACGUAGGGAAACUUACGCUAAUACCGCAUACGACCUACGGGUGAAAGCAGGGGAUCUUCGGACCUUGCGCGAUUGAAUGAGCCGAUGUCGGAUUAGCUAGUUGGCGGGGUAAAGGCCCACCAAGGCGACGAUCCGUAGCUGGUCUGAGAGGAUGAUCAGCCACACUGGAACUGAGACACGGUCCAGACUCCUACGGGAGGCAGCAGUGGGGAACAUUGGACAAAGGGCGCAAGCCUGAUCCAGCCAUACCGCGUGGGUGAAGAAGGCCUUCGGGUUGUAAAGCCCUUUUGUUGGGAAAGAAAAGCAGCAGGUUAAUACCCCGCUGUUCUGACGGUACCCAAAGAAUAAGCACCGGCUAACUUCGUG